UACGUAGGUGGCAAGCGUUGUUCGGAUUCACUGGGCGUAAAGGGUGCGUAGGUGGCUUGAAAAGUUUGAUGUGAAAGCUCAGGGCUUAACCCUGAAAUGGCAUUGAAUACUGUCGAGCUGGAGGUUUGGAGGGGGGACUGGAAUUCUUGGUGUAGCAGUGAAAUGCGUAGAUAUCAAGAGGAACACCAGUGGCGAAGGCGAGUCCCUGGACAACACCUGACACUGAGGCACGAAAGCUAGGGGAGCAAACAGG
RNAcentral lists this ribosomal RNA (253 nucleotides) under uncultured bacterium. RNAcentral's name for it is "partial 16S ribosomal RNA". It matches the Rfam family "Bacterial small subunit ribosomal RNA", at positions 524 to 776 of the family's 1533-position model. The record is from RNAcentral.